RNAcentral lists this ribosomal RNA (625 nucleotides) under Rhizocarpon geographicum. RNAcentral's name for it is "partial large subunit ribosomal RNA". The stretch from base 1 to 300 matches the Rfam family "Bacterial large subunit ribosomal RNA", at positions 1045 to 1301 of the family's 2925-position model. Lineage: Eukaryota; Fungi; Ascomycota; Lecanoromycetes; Rhizocarpales; Rhizocarpaceae. The record is from RNAcentral.
UUCCAAAAUUAUUGUUAAGUGAAAAUAAGGUAGUGUUUAUCUAAGCCAACCAGGAAAUGGGCUUAGGAGCGGCCAUUUUUUAAAGACCUCGUAACAGAGCACUGGUUUUAUACAAUUUUGUAUUGUAUUGUUAGAUGCACCUAAAAUUUAACGGAUCUAAAUAAUAUACCGAGACCUUGUCCAUAAAUAUUUAUAUGUACAAGUUACAUAUAAUAUAUAUGGGGUAGCGGAACAUUGGGCAUAUUUCAGAUUUUUUCUUUUUAAGACUUAAGAUUAGAUUACCCAAGUGAUAAUGCUGACAUGAGUAACGAUAAAGGGUUUAUACCCUCGCCUAAAGCUUAUGGAAUUUACUUAAAGUAACGGCCUCUAAGUUUAAAUUUGCUAUAGUUUAAACAAACAACACUUGAUACCUAACUCUAACAGACGAUACAAGUGCAAAAUAGUAAACACCUAAUGGUAUAAACGAUGAGAAAAAGCUAAGUUUUACAGAUAUAAAUAGCAUGAGUGUUGCAGGUAGGUAUUAUAUAUAUAAUGGAUUUUUUUUUUAUUCUUUUUAUGCGUUAUUAUCCUUUGCACUAUUCUGGUAUAUUGGUUGCUCUGGGUAUAGGCGUAUGGCCCGGUAUUC